RNAcentral lists this long non-coding RNA (369 nucleotides) under Mytilus galloprovincialis (Mediterranean mussel). The record is from RNAcentral. Lineage: Eukaryota; Metazoa; Mollusca; Bivalvia; Mytilida; Mytilidae.
UAUGGCAAGCCGUUCUCGUCAAAACUAUGUUUAAACCCUUUUUUUCGAAAAAAAAUACACACUGAGAAUUAAAAACCUAAAAUAACACACUGAGAAAUCGAAAUUACACACUGAGAUUUAAAAAAAUAAAAAACACACACUGAGAAUUCAAAAUUACACACUGAGAUUUUAAAAAGACACACUGAGAUGAAAUAAAUUGAAAAGCACACACUGAGAAUUGUUAAUUACACACUGAGAUUUCAAAAAAUACGCACUGAGAUUAAUAUGCAAAUUACUAAUGAAUAUUCAUGAGAUGAAUAAUUCAACAGAUUUAUAUCUUGAUCUCAAGAACUCUUAUCAUUAUAAUGAAACGCGAUUCCUUCAACCAAC